Molecule: ribosomal RNA, 216 nt
Filed under: Glomeromycotina sp.
Lineage: Eukaryota; Fungi; Glomeromycota
Description: partial small subunit ribosomal RNA
Rfam family: Eukaryotic small subunit ribosomal RNA (bases 40-216)
Source: RNAcentral
GGGUCAGUAGGUUGGUCGUGCCACCGGUACGUACUGGUCUCACUGAUUCCUCCUUCCUGAAGAACCGUAAUGCCAUUAAUUUGGUGUUGCGGGGAAACAGGACUGUUACUUUGAAAAAAUUAGAGUGUUUAAAGCAAGCUAACGAUUGAAUACAUUAGCAUGGAAUAAUGAAAUAGGACGAUCGAUCCUAUUUUGUUGGUUUCUAGGAUUGACGUA